RNAcentral lists this ribosomal RNA (1047 nucleotides) under Triticum aestivum (bread wheat). Its description in RNAcentral is "partial small subunit ribosomal RNA". Lineage: Eukaryota; Viridiplantae; Streptophyta; Magnoliopsida; Poales; Poaceae. The record is from RNAcentral.
AUGGUGUUCAUUGACUUGGAGAAGGCCUAUGAUAAGAUACCGCGGAAUGUCAUGUGGUGGGCCUUGGAGAAACACAAAGUCCCAGCAAAGUACAUUACCCUCAUCAAGGACAUGUACAAUAAUAUUGUGACAAGUGUUCGAACAAGUGAUGUCGACACCGAUGACUUCCCGAUCAAGAUAGGACUGCAUCAGGGGUCAGCUUUGAGCCCUUAUCUUUUUGCAUUGGUGAUGGAUGAGGUCACAAGGGGUAUACAAGGAGAUAUCCCAUGGUGUAUGCUCUUUGCGGAUGAUGUGGUGCUAGUUGACGAUAGUCGGACGGGGGUAAAUAGGAAGUUAGAGUUAUGGAGACAAACCUUGGAAUCGAAAGGGUUUAGGCUUAGUAGAACUAAAACCGAGUACAUGAUGUGCGGUUUCAGUACUACUAGCUGUGAGGAGGAGGAGGUUAGCCUUGAUGGCCAGGUGGUACCUCGGAAGGACACCUUUCGGUAUUUGGGGUCAAUGUUGCAGGAGGAUGGGGGUAUUGAUGAAGAUGUGAACCAUCGAAUCAAAGCCGGAUGGAUGAAGUGGCGCCAAGCUUCUGGCAUUCUCUAUGACAAGAGAGUGCCACAAAAGGUAAAAGGCAAGUUCUAUAGGACGGCGGUUCGACCCGCAAUGUUGUAUGGCGCGGAGUGUUGGCCGACUAAAAGGCGACAUGUUCAACAGUUAGGUGUGGCGGAGAUGCGUAUGUUGAGAUGGAUGUGUGGCCACACGAGGAAGGAUCGAGUCCGGAAUGAUGAUAUACGAGAUAGAGUUGGGGUAGCACCAAUUGAGGAGAAGCUUGUCCAACAUCGUUUGAGAUGGUUUGGGCAUAUUCAGCGCAGGCCUCUAGAAGCUCCAGUGCAUAGCGGACGGCUGAAGCGUGCGGAGAAUGUCAAGAGAGGGCGGGGUCGACCGAUUUUGACAUGGGAGGAGUCCGUUAAGAGAGACCUGAAGGAUUGGAGUAUCGACAAAGAGCUAGCUAUGGACAGGGGUGCGUGGAAGCUUGCUAUCCAUGUGCCAGAGCCAUGA